Molecule: long non-coding RNA, 1503 nt
Filed under: Homo sapiens (human)
Lineage: Eukaryota; Metazoa; Chordata; Mammalia; Primates; Hominidae
Description: HSALNT0309638
Source: RNAcentral
CACAGGCCAUUCAAUGCUAGUUAAAGUGUCAGGACUUGACAAGAGGCUUAGUAUGAAGGAGAACACUUUCAGGGGACCAAGUCAGAGAUAAGUCUGCAACCACAGCAAUGGCCCUUUAGAAAGCAUUUAAGAGGCCUGGUGCUUUUUGAGCUGCUUUGAUGACGUGGCAAUGGCUGGAGGGGAAAAGCAGCGGCACAGCUGCCUGCCAUUGGCCUGGUCUUUUUCACUGUGCUCAGUGUUGUCAUCACGAAGCCUCUCAUGCAGCGCGAUGUCAGGAUGGGCCCAUGCGCGGGUGGAAGGCAUGUGGGGGCCAUGUUGCCAGCUGCGGAUGGACAGGCUUCUGAUAUCAGGCUGUGACAGCACUGUCAUCUCCCAAGAAUCCAGCAUCCGUCUGCAUGGAUUGCAUGCCAUCCUUGAAUCCACUCACUUGCCCAGCCCCUGAACCAACUGAUGAAUGUGGUGAAGUCUUCCCUUCGUCACCCCAGGUGCAGCCACAGCCUCUGCAGCCACCCUGGGGGAGAGACAGCUCCAGCAGGACCUGCUAAGGUGAGGUGUUCUGGAAGGGUCUCUGCUCCUAGCAGUCACUGGCAGCUUGCCCAAAUUGGAGAAGUUUAACAUCUCUUUUCUCUGAGAAGUAAAAUGUGUUUCUUUGGUGGAUGUGAAACCAACAAACCACUGUGGUGCCUCUCUACAUCUGAAGGAUGAGCCAGCCAAGCCAGGGGAACUGACGACCCCACACACGUCUGCACUGCUGUGGCCGUGUUGAACACGGACUCCUUCUUCAGGGCAGCCUUGGGCCAUCGGAGGGCUGCUGUAUGCAGUGACGGCCACCAAGUGUCCUUGGCCAGGGGAGUGAUUUACAGGGACUGAGAUCCUGACUUGUGACCCAGACACGAAUGCAUCCUUGUUCCAUUUUGUUAUUGCUCAACCGUCAUCUGGCCAUCCCCAAAGCCCACCUCUGUGAGAAAGGCCAGUGCUUGUCCUCGUGACACCCCUGAGACCUCGAUGGAGCAAGUCCCAGGGCCCAUCAUACAUUUUUAAAGAAAAUCUUCUUUUGGUGAGAAGAUCAAAGGGCCAGGCAGAAAUGGAAAAGCACUUUCUGGCAUCAGACUUCCUCUGACUUCUCCGGUUGCCACACCACUGAAAGACUGCCCCACAGUGCGAGGGACGUCCACAUCUGCCUGGCUCUCCGAGGGAUGAACAGCCUUCAGUUCAGCUUCCUGUCACACCCCAAAAUCCACCAGGGCUCUGCAGUCAUAGAGCCCUGGAACCCAGAGGUGGAAACUUAAAGGAAUGAGUGCUCUCUCGCUCCAAAACCACAGAUAUCUGGUCCAUAGAGAACCCACCACACUUGUAUACAUUUUCAUACGUCUGCGCACAUACACAAAUGCACAAACACAUGUUCAGCUGUUGAUAAUCAUCUGAUCUUUUGCUCUUUCGAUGUAAAUAUGGCCAGAUAUCUCUGGCUUUAAUUCUCAUUAAAAUUUUGAAAGUUAUACUUUC